Molecule: unclassified non-coding RNA, 237 nt
Filed under: Ascomycota sp.
Lineage: Eukaryota; Fungi; Ascomycota
Description: partial contains small subunit ribosomal RNA, internal transcribed spacer 1, and 5.8S ribosomal RNA
Rfam family: Eukaryotic small subunit ribosomal RNA (bases 1-47)
Source: RNAcentral
AAAGUCGUAACAAGGUUUCCGUAGGUGAACCUGCGGAAGGAUCAUUACGAAUAGUGCCGGUGAGGCUCUCGGGCCGAGCCGGCGCCCCGACCCGUCGGGACACCCUGUUUAUGAGUACCAACCGUUUCCUCGGCGGGCCCGCCCGCCAGUGAGGACCUCUUCAAAACCUUGCAAUGAGCAGUCAGUCAGUAAUAACAUAAUUUGUCACAACUUUCAACAAUGGAUCUCUUGGCUCUG